RNAcentral lists this non-coding RNA (31 nucleotides) under Homo sapiens (human). Lineage: Eukaryota; Metazoa; Chordata; Mammalia; Primates; Hominidae. The record is from RNAcentral.
UGCUAAGUGUGCCACAUACCUAAUGUUUCCA